GACGAACGCUGGCGGCGUGCUUAACACAUGCAAGUCGAACGGAAAGGCCCUGCUUUUGUGGGGUGCUCGAGUGGCGAACGGGUGAGUAACACGUGAGUAACCUGCCCUUUACUUUGGGAUAACUUCAGGAAACUGGGGCUAAUACCGGAUAGGAGCUCCUGCUGCAUGGUGGGGGUGGGAAAGUUUCGGCGGUUGGGGAUGGACUCGCGGCUUAUCAGCUUGUUGGUGGGGUAGUGGCUUACCAAGGCUUUGACGGGUAGCCGGCCUGAGAGGGUGACCGGCCACAUUGGGACUGAGGAACGGCCCAGACUCCAACGGGAGGCAGCAGUGGGAGAUAGUCCGCAAUGGGCGGAAGCCUGAUGCAGCAACGCCGCGUGCGGGAUGACGGCCUGUAGGUUGUAAACCGCUUUCGCCUGUAAAGAAGCGUGAGUGACGGUAAUGGGUAAAGAAGCACCGGCUAACUACGUG
RNAcentral lists this ribosomal RNA (468 nucleotides) under uncultured bacterium. Its description in RNAcentral is "partial 16S ribosomal RNA". It matches the Rfam family "Bacterial small subunit ribosomal RNA", at positions 28 to 507 of the family's 1533-position model. The record is from RNAcentral.